AUGACGUCAAAUCGCACGAUUCAAACACGCCUGCCUGCACGCUUGUCAAAUUUGAACUUUGUUCGCUGAAUCAGAAAUUGAAUAAAACCUUUGUACUAACUGUGGCUGUUUCAGUUGGACGAGUUCGCGUUGUUGUAAUUACGUUCUCGCGUAAUGUCGUGUUAAUGGGAAAAUUUUUAAGCUUGUUAUGGUCCACACGUUUCAAAUAAUGCUUUUUGAAGCCCUAGAAAUGUUAUUUUAAUGGACGUGUGGUGAUAGCACACUGGUUCGUUCCGAAAGUUGCCAACUUUGAUCUUCAGGAAGGUUCUACAUGUAUAAUGUUUGCUACCAGAAGAAAGAAAAAAAACCUAAGAAAGGGACCUAAGCUCCAACAACUGGAAACGUAAAUAAUGAAUCGCGAGGGUGACUUACGGCCGGCAGUCAGGGUAUGGUGAAGGAUACAGCUCAACAAGACUGUUGCUACUUUAAUGAUCGCCAUCACUUUAAAUCCAAUUUUGGUGGACAGAAAAUCUAUAUCAACCUGGAAAGAAGAAACGGAACGGCCACACACAUAAGUGACUCAGACGGUCGCCUUUUGGAUCACUUCACUCGCUUGUAUCGAGGAUGAUGGUAGCCAGUAGUACUCUUCGAAAUGGAAGGAUGUUCAAGACACUGGAAAGUGUAUACGGGAAAUUAGUUUUGAAAAUCGUGCUUGGAGAUGCACGAGAAUAACACUGUCUAAUGCAACAGGAACCUUACUCAGAGAAGGAAAAUGGGUUGCAUUAGGUGGAGCUCAUAAAAGGACUUCAUAAAAAUCAUUCUGCUGAAAAGGAAUGGAAAAUUCUCGAGCGAGAUAUUCUAUGAUGGAACUUAGAACCUCGCUUAAAGUUUUGAGUACGGCAGAUUACUGUGUGCGUCAUCACAAAAUAUUUUAAAGAUUUGAAAGUCUGGGCACUGUACCAAGCCAACACACAGGUUUAUUUGCCCUCUAGAAACCUCUCAUCAGAUUAAAUCGGACAACAUUGUAAUGCUAUACAGCGAGAAAUGCAUAGAAUAAAAAUGUAUGGUUGCAGAUAGCAACGAGAUUCGAA
Molecule: long non-coding RNA, 1070 nt
Filed under: Pocillopora damicornis (cauliflower coral)
Lineage: Eukaryota; Metazoa; Cnidaria; Anthozoa; Scleractinia; Pocilloporidae
Description: uncharacterized LOC113673031, transcript variant X1
Source: RNAcentral